UCAUUAUUAAUUCCUGUGGAUAAGGUUGAUGCAUUCAAUAUAUUGUUGUACUUAUGAUGAUAUAGUUAUUGUAUAUAUACUCCAUUAAUAUUGGAAACCUAGAAUUCUUUACAAACAGAAUUACUCAAAUGUUUGUGAAAACUGAAAAUAGAAAUUAUGACUUUAUUUUGUGGUUGCUAUUAGCCAAGAAGGCUUGGUUCCCAUGUAUAUUUUUUGUGUGUUUCCAUGACGAGAAUUCAUUUUAAUUCACUUCAAGGCAAACUUCAGAUGACUCUUCUAAAUACCACUUUGACAUAGCUGAAUUUAUGUUCACAUGUGUGCCCUAUGGAGAGAUAGAGAGACACUGACUAAAAAUACUCUUGAAGAGAGAGAUUAGUAGAAAAUUUCUUGACUGCAUCCUAAAAUUUGCCCUUAAAUGUUUCCUAUCCCCUUGAAUUCAUGCUUUGUAGACCCAUGUUUCCAAGUUGUGACUUAGGUUCCACUUCUACCAGAAUACCUGGAAGAAACUUGUUAAAUGAUGGGCUCCUGGGCCCAGGGCACAUUUCAAAUAAAAUUUUAUGUGUGGACCCUGGGAUCUGCACCGUAAGAAGCCUGCUUGGUUCUUCUUGCACCCACUGAAACUGUGGACUCCAUCCCAGCAUUGAGAAUGGACUAAUUUGCUCCACUUUGGAAUUGAAUUAGCUCUCGGACCAGCGGGGCACUGGUAGGUAAAUUGCUUUUUCCAGUACUGGCAUGUUUUCUCCCUCAGUGCCUCUGUUGGCUUCUGAGCUUAUAACCUCCAGGGAAAAAUGAGAAUGUCCACCCUUUUAAUAUGUGUAGAGACCAUGCAAGACCAUUGUCUCCCAAUAAUUAGACAGACCUUGCCACAUUAUCCCUGUUAACUGCACACGGUGGGAAGGCUGCUUUCCACUUGCC
Molecule: long non-coding RNA, 915 nt
Filed under: Chinchilla lanigera (long-tailed chinchilla)
Lineage: Eukaryota; Metazoa; Chordata; Mammalia; Rodentia; Chinchillidae
Description: lncRNA (ENSCLAG00000027942.1)
Source: RNAcentral